GGUGGGGUAGCGAAGUGGCUAAACGCGGUGGACUGUAAAUCCACUCUCUCCGAGUUCGACAGUUCGAAUCUGUCCCCCACCACCA
This 85-nucleotide transfer RNA is filed under the name Acholeplasmataceae bacterium. RNAcentral's name for it is "tRNA-Tyr". It matches the Rfam family "tRNA". From Rfam's summary of the family: Transfer RNA (tRNA) molecules are approximately 80 nucleotides in length. Their secondary structure includes four short double-helical elements and three loops (D, anti-codon, and T loops). Lineage: Bacteria; Bacillati; Mycoplasmatota; Mollicutes; Acholeplasmatales; Acholeplasmataceae. The record is from RNAcentral.